AACGCACAUUGCGCCCCCUGGUAUUCCGGGGGGCAUGCCUGUCCGAGCGUCAUUGCUGCCCAUCAAGCGCGGCUUGUGUGUUGGGCCCCCGUCCCCCUCCCCGGGGGGACGGGCCCGAAAGGCAGCGGCGGCACCGCGUCCGGUCCUCGAGCGUAUGGGGCUCUGUCACCCGCUCUGGAGGCCCGGCCGGCGCCCGCCGACCCCAACCUUUUAUUUACCAGGUUGACCUCGGAUCAGGUAGGGAUACCCGCUGAACUUAA
RNAcentral lists this unclassified non-coding RNA (260 nucleotides) under uncultured fungus. RNAcentral describes it as "partial contains 5.8S ribosomal RNA, internal transcribed spacer 2, and large subunit ribosomal RNA". The stretch from base 1 to 52 matches the Rfam family "5.8S ribosomal RNA", at positions 103 to 154 of the family's 154-position model. Lineage: Eukaryota; Fungi. The record is from RNAcentral.